CCGACGGGUGAGUAACACGUAUCCAACCUGCCGUCUACUCUUGCCAGCCUUCUGAAAGGAAGAUUAAUCCAGGAUGGCAUCAUGAGUUCACAUGUCCGCAUGAUUAAAGGUAUUCCGGUAGACGAUGGGGAUGCGUUCCAUUAGAUAGUAGGCGGGGUAACGGCCCACCUAGUCUUCGAUGGAUAGGGGUUCUGAGAGGAAGGUCCCCCACAUUGGAACUGAGACACGGUCCAA
This 234-nucleotide ribosomal RNA is filed under the name uncultured bacterium. RNAcentral describes it as "partial 16S ribosomal RNA". It matches the Rfam family "Bacterial small subunit ribosomal RNA", at positions 102 to 334 of the family's 1533-position model. The record is from RNAcentral.